AUGCACGCUGGCGGCGUGCCUAAUACAUGCAAGUCGAGCGAACAGACGAGGAGCUUGCUCCUCUGACGUUAGCGGCGGCCGGGUGAGUAACACGUGGAUAACCUACCUAUAAGACUGGGAUAACUUCGGGAAACCGGAGCUAAUACCGGAUAAUAUAUUGAACCGCAUGGUUCAAUAGUGAAAGACGGUUUUGCUGUCACUUAUAGAUGGAUCCGCGCCGCAUUAGCUAGUUGGUAAGGUAACGGCUUACCAAGGCAACGAUGCGUAGCCGACCUGAGAGGGUGAUCGGCCACACUGGAACUGAGACACGGUCCAGACUCCUACGGGAGGCAGCAGUAGGGAAUCUUCCGCAAUGGGCGAAAGCCUGACGGAGCAACGCCGCGUGAGUGAUGAAGGUCUUCGGAUCGUAAAACUCUGUUAUUAGGGAAGAACAAAUGUGUAAGUAACUAUGCACGUCUUGACGGUACCUAAUCAGAAAGCCACGGCUAACUACGUG
Molecule: ribosomal RNA, 496 nt
Filed under: uncultured bacterium
Lineage: Bacteria
Description: partial 16S ribosomal RNA
Rfam family: Bacterial small subunit ribosomal RNA
Source: RNAcentral